This 353-nucleotide unclassified non-coding RNA is filed under the name fungal sp. RNAcentral's name for it is "partial internal transcribed spacer region". The stretch from base 1 to 46 matches the Rfam family "Eukaryotic small subunit ribosomal RNA", at positions 1786 to 1831 of the family's 1831-position model. Lineage: Eukaryota; Fungi. The record is from RNAcentral.
AAGUCGUAACAAGGUUUCCGUAGGUGAACCUGCGGAAGGAUCAUUAACACGUAUCCAACGUUAAACAACAGGCGGAACAGCAAUCCCGGUAAAUCAGUGGGCGGAAAGUUUUGAUUCGGGACCUCUGUCCAAAAGUUACAAUCGAGCUAGGAGCAGUGGCAUGGUUUCCCUAAGCAGUGCAGAAGGAUCCACUGAGUAAGGAUAACGCAUCACGGUUGCCAGAGGUCGAUCACCGGCCGGCAGACAUGUCACAGGGCUAUAUGCCCCUUCAUUCACACCUUGCUCUCUCAUGCCCGCCGGAAACGCCGGGCACAAAAACCGAACAACUGUUAACAAUGGAUAUCUUGGUUCUC